RNAcentral lists this ribosomal RNA (382 nucleotides) under uncultured eukaryote. RNAcentral's name for it is "partial 18S ribosomal RNA". It matches the Rfam family "Eukaryotic small subunit ribosomal RNA", at positions 592 to 976 of the family's 1831-position model. The record is from RNAcentral.
CAAUAGCGUAUAUUAAAGUUGUUGCAGUUAAAAAGCUCGUAGUUGGAUUUCUGGUUGAAGCGACCGGUCGGGCGUUGAUUCGUCUGCACUGGAGUCGGUUUUGGCCAUCCUCUAGGAAAGUGCGUCUGGUAUUAAGUUAUCGGGCGUAUGAUCCUGGUCUUUUACUGUGAAAAAAUUAGAGUGUUUAAAGCAGGCCUUCGCCUUGAAUACAUUAGCAUGGAAUAAUAAGAUAGGACUUUGGUCUAUUUUGUUGGUUUGCAGACCGAAGUAAUGAUUAAUAGGGAUAGUUGGGGGUAUUUAUAUUCCGAUGUCAGAGGUGAAAUUCUUAGAUUUUCGGAAGAUAAACUUAUGCGAAAGCAUUUACCAAGGAUGUUUCCAUUAA